ACGCCGCAAGAUGUUGACGCUCAUCUGACCCCAGAAAAAGUGUUGGUCGAUAUAGACAGCAGGACGGUGGCCAUGGAAGUCGGAUUCCGCUAAGGAGUGUGUAACAACUCACCUGCCGAAUCAACUAGACCUGAAAAUGGAUGUCGCUGGAGCGUUGGGCCCAU
This 164-nucleotide non-coding RNA is filed under the name Salmo salar (Atlantic salmon). RNAcentral's name for it is "Eukaryotic large subunit ribosomal RNA". It matches the Rfam family "Eukaryotic large subunit ribosomal RNA", at positions 1182 to 1345 of the family's 3401-position model. The record is from Rfam by way of RNAcentral. Lineage: Eukaryota; Metazoa; Chordata; Actinopteri; Salmoniformes; Salmonidae.